UUCCGGUUGAUCCCGCCGGACCCCACUGCUAUCGGGAUAGGACUAAGACAUGCUAGUCAAGCGCUUUCUAGCUAAUGUGAGAGCGCGGCGUACAGCUCAGUAACACGUGGCCAACCUGCCCUUGGGACGGGAACACCCCCGGGAAACUGGGGUUAAUUCCCGAUAGGUGAAGAAGUCUGGAAUGAAUCUUCGCUCAAAAGACGUUUAUGUCAUGCUCAUAUUCGUCGCCCAGGGAUGGGGCCGCGACCGAUCAGGUAGUUGGUGAGGCAAUGGCUCACCAAGCCUUUUACCGGUGCGGGCCGUGAGAGCGGGAGCCCGGAGAUGGGCACUGAGACAAGGGCCCAGGCCCCACGGGGCGCAGCAGUCGCGAAAACUUUGCAAUACACGAAAGUGUGACAGGGCUAUCCCGAGUGCCAUCCGCUGAGGAAGGCUUUUACCCAGUAUAAAUAGCUGGGAGAAUAAGGAGAGGGCAAGUCUGGUGUCAGCCGCCGCGGUAAUACCAGCUCUCCGAGUAGUGUGGACGUUUAUUGGGCCUAAAGCAUCCGUAGCUUGCUAGAUAAGUCCUCUGUUAAAUCCACCGAUUCAAUCGUUGGAUUGCGGGGGAUACUGUUUGGCUAGGGGACGGGAGAGGUCGACGGUAUUUCCGGGGUAGGGGUGAAAUCCUAUAAUCCCGGGAAGACCACCAGUGGCGAAGGCUGUCGACUAGAACGCGCCCGACGGUGAGGGAUGAAAGCUGGGGGAGCGAACCGGAUUAGAUACCCGGGUAGUCCCAGCUGUAAACGAUGCAGGCUAGGUGUUUGGGCGGCCACGAGCCGCCCUAGUGCCGCAGGG
This 831-nucleotide ribosomal RNA is filed under the name uncultured archaeon. RNAcentral describes it as "bacterial SSU rRNA". It matches the Rfam family "Archaeal small subunit ribosomal RNA", at positions 1 to 808 of the family's 1478-position model. The record is from RNAcentral.